Penaeus indicus is the source of this 1270-nucleotide long non-coding RNA. RefSeq lists it as uncharacterized. The record is from RefSeq and is a predicted model, not a curated record. Lineage: Eukaryota; Metazoa; Arthropoda; Malacostraca; Decapoda; Penaeidae. The transcript has 2 exons.
CGGGCAAAGUUGAAGUUGCAUAACGUGGGGUCAUUUUGGGCUCUUGUGCUGGUUAUCGUGAAUCUCUCUAUUGCGUGAUGUGUAUCCCUUUCCCGUGGAUAUUGUAUAGAGACCAUUGUUUUUUCGUACAUAGACUUUUAUGUAGGUUUCAUCACAUGUUAUAGUUUCCAUGUGCUAUGAGACUGCGAGAGUGAAAUGAAUGGAAACUGGUAAUUCAGUUGUAAUAGGAUAAUCUACUACACAUUUUUUUCUUACAUUACUGGUGUAUGCUGAUAUUUUCACUUAAUUGUUUAGUAGAAAAUGCACUGAAGUGUGUUGUAUGGGAAGACGCUUCAGCGCAAUUGAAGUGUAGAAUUUAAGAUAAAAUUAUUUUUGGUACUUUCUACCGUGCUAUAUUUGACAGAAAACAAUACGAAAAAUAUAUCACAAUACCCUUGUCUCUAAAUGAACGGAAAAUUACUUUUCCUGAUUAUUGUGCAGUGGUUAAUGUGCGCGGCAAAAGGGAUUACUUGCCAGAAAUUCGGUUGCAUUUGAAAUUAAAAGACAAAUGCGUGAUUUGUCUCGCGAAGCAAAGUAAUUGCCUUUAUUAUAUGAAAGGCAAUUGCACCUUCUAGUUUCCACUUCCUGCAUGGUGUGUUUGCCGUAAUGCACGUUUUUCUGAAGAAUUUCUAUAAUGUAUGACACUGUAUACGGCAUUAGGUUGUGAAAAAUUGUACCUAAAGUAUUUUCGUCGUUGUUAUUGUAGCUGACAUAUUUGUGCAAUAUAUUUAUGUGCAGUAGACUUCAUUUUAGCUGCAACUAGUUGUAGAUUAAAAAUAAUCAUACUCUCCUGUACUUAUAUCGAUGAAUAUUGUAUCUUUGUGUUAGAAAAAAAUGUAUUUUUAUAUUAUUUUCUUACACCAUGAAAAUGCACAUUCUGCUAACAAGAUUUAUAGACACGUUGAUUGUGAAUAUUUUCCAGGUGUUAUUAUGAUUAACUGUAAAUGUUCCUCAAGUACUCGACAUACAGAGGACUGACUGCAGUUAAUGAGAGCCAAGUUAUGACCUUUCAUUAGCUGUGCAUUAUACAAGCUGGAAAACCUAGUUUGGUGAAGUAUUUAGCUCUAAGAACCAUUGCAAAGAUCUAGUUGAUUGCGUACAAGUGGUACAACUGGUUUUCAAUAUGCAAUCCUACAACACUCGUGUAACCAUUGCAGACAAGGAGUCGAGUCUCAUUUCCUUGUGGACUGAUGUAUAUUCAGAAAAUAAAUGCUUACCCAAGGCAUACUCA